CCUACGGGUGGCAGCAGUGGGGAAUAUUGGGCAAUGGGCGCAAGCCUGACCCAGCCACGCCGCGUGAAGGAAGAAGGCUUUCGGGUUGUUAACUUUCUUUUAGAGGGAAGUGCAGAAGACAGUACCUCUUGAAUAAGCCACGGCUAACUACGGGCCAGCAGCCGCGGUAAUACGUAGGUGGCAAGCGUUGUCCGGAUUUACUGGGUGUAAAGGGCGUGCAGCCGGGAAGACAAGUCAGAUGUGAAAUCCGGCGGCUCAACCGCGGAACUGCAGUUGAAACUGUUUUUCUUGAGUACCGGAGAGGUCAGCGGAAUUCGUGGUGUAGCGGUGAAAUGCGUAGAUAUAAGGAAGAACACCAGUGGCGAAGGCGGAUGACUGGACGGCAACUGACGGUGAGGCGCGAAAGCGUGGGGAGCAAACAGGAUUAGAUACCCUAGUAGUC
This 442-nucleotide ribosomal RNA is filed under the name uncultured bacterium. RNAcentral's name for it is "partial 16S ribosomal RNA". It matches the Rfam family "Bacterial small subunit ribosomal RNA", at positions 338 to 795 of the family's 1533-position model. The record is from RNAcentral.